This 72-nucleotide transfer RNA is filed under the name Parcubacteria group bacterium CG10_big_fil_rev_8_21_14_0_10_38_31. RNAcentral describes it as "tRNA-Val". It matches the Rfam family "tRNA". Rfam says of the family: Transfer RNA (tRNA) molecules are approximately 80 nucleotides in length. The record is from RNAcentral.
GAGCCUUUAGCUCAGUGGUAGAGCGUUACAUUGACAUUGUAAAGGCCGGUGGUUCAAUCCCACCAAGGCUCA